Megalopta genalis is the source of this 2280-nucleotide non-coding RNA. Lineage: Eukaryota; Metazoa; Arthropoda; Insecta; Hymenoptera; Halictidae. The record is from RefSeq and is a predicted model, not a curated record.
CGAUACGUGUGUCUCCCCGUGCACGUUCACGCAUCCGUCUUAACCUUGCGCUCGUGUGCGUUCGACGCGAGCGAAUCACCGUGCAGUAGCUCUCCUCUCGGCUACGUGAAAUCCGCCGAGCAGCAACGCUGCCGCAACGAGACCCCGAGAGAACACGGCAAUUUUCGGGAUAAGUCAUCCUGCCGAUUUGCCGGUUUCCUAAUUACCGACGCAAACGCGAUCUAACCAAUUAGCCACCCUUUCUUAUCGACGCCAGGAACGCGGCAGAACCUGCAACGAGAUUAACCAAACAAAACGAGGUUAACGUCCGAUUUCUACGAAUACUCGAUGUUUUACCGAAACGCUGCGAACGCUGCUUGUUUUUACUGACCAAUGUACGAAUAAUUCUGUCAUUCGUUACACGAUGUAGUAAUCUGUGAAAUAGACUCUUCGUAACGUACGUAGCACAACAGAUUUCAACGUGUUUGGAGGUUAUUUUUGAACGUUGAAACUGUCGUCAAAAAUAAUAAUUAAUCGAUCCUCUAAGCGAUCAAUUUUCACUUCAACGAAUAUGACAAUUUGCUUAAGUAGGAGAAAACAGUGUCUCAAUUAGCAAAUUUAGGUUAAGUAUUAGAACUUUUGAUACUUCAUUUGAACGUUGAAACUAUCGUGAAAAAUAAUAAUUAAUCGAUCCUCUGAGCGAUCAAUUUUCACUUCAACGAAUAUGACAAUUUGCUUAAGAAGGAGAAAACAGUGUCUCAAUUAGCAAAUUUAGGUUAAGUAUCCGAACUUCUGCGCUUCUACCAGAUGAGAGUUACCGAAUUCGAACUUAAGGGUCUCCAGCGAAUCAGUGCAGACCCUUCCUAGAACUCUUGACAUACGGCACUCGAAACCUCUUCCGUAUAGUACCCUACGGCUUUCUUACCGUAUCUACAUUUAGAUUGGUGCCAAACAGAAAAACGUUGGACAGAACUAACAAGAUAUAUGCACAUAAUACGUUGGUACAGGUUGCGUUAUUGCAUUUGAGAAAAAAACGAAACGAAAAUGGGUCUCACGAUACGACAAAGUAAAUUUGGGAUCGCGUGAUCUCUAUGGAAAUUGGUAUGCAACACAACGUUUCCCUAUCCACUUCCUUCCUGUAUGAUUCGAAGGGAAGCGUCAAAUAGUUAUUGCGACGUUGGCUCCGUUUGCGUUUCGUUAUCUCAAUUCUGGUGCAGACCGACGGCCUGUAAUUGUGUUGAGGUCGCCUGUGAGUUAACCAGAAACUACGGUGUAAUGCGAAGCCAAAUAGCAGCGCAAUGCUCUCUCACGAGACCAAAAUUGCCGAUUAGCCGUAUAUUUCACUAUCGUAACCGCGUUGUGUUUUCGAUGACACCGUGGCAUUCGCUUAACCUGGGCUACCGAAAUACCUAGGGCUUUGAACCAGCAAAGACAUUGAUUCGAGUUCGAAAUCUUUUAACGAUUCAUCCCGAAACAGGCUAAAGCGUUGCAGGACGUCGUCGAAGCCAUUCAAAAAAGACCUUCUGAUUUUCCGAUGUAUAGUCCACGCGAUACCGAGGGUCUUUGCGACCGGAAACUGUGCUUCACUGCCGGUACGCCAUAUGGUAACGAGAACAUAUUGGUUCGUUGAACAGACAUACGAUCCGAAAUUCUAUUUCGAUGAAUCGUUAGAGCUUACGAAAGCGAAAAGAACUGUUCUACAAUUACUCGGACGUCCUCGAAAAGCUCGGAUAAGUUACGAUCAAUCAUGCAACAUUCAGAACAACAGCCGUUUCUAAUGAUAUUUUGAGGUGUUCGAAAGACACACGGUGCAUGUUAAAACCCGAAACGGAAAGGUACGACGGGAGUGAACGAGAAAAGGAUGACCAUAUGUCUGUAUAUGCACGAUGGAAACGAAAACAAUGAUCCGGUGAACCAAGAAACGCGCGAGGAAAUGAACCGGUAGACCAGUGAAAAGAACUCGUGCAACUAUCAGCUAAACGAUAAACAAAUUCAUAUUUACAGCAGCUUUGCUACGGCUUUCCACUUCCACGCUGCGUUUUUUUAUCUCGAUCCUCCGAUUUUAAUUGUAAUUAGACAUUUAGCGCGAUAGAAUCGAAUGCAAACACACAAAAAAAAAAGAAAAAGCAAGAAGGCCGUCCGAAGCGUACCUGGAAAGACGUCCUUUGUGUCAGGAUUAUAAGGAUGAAUCCAUCCGUUUCUCUGUUGUAUAAUGCACUGGAACAUGUUGCCGAGUUAGGCGUGGGUCACGAUUCGGCAACGAAAUGGAAUAACGAUGAAUCAAUGUGCAAGAAAAAGAAA